Molecule: ribosomal RNA, 252 nt
Filed under: uncultured bacterium
Lineage: Bacteria
Description: partial 16S ribosomal RNA
Rfam family: Bacterial small subunit ribosomal RNA
Source: RNAcentral
UACGGAGGAUGCGAGCGUUAUCCGGAUUUAUUGGGUUUAAAGGGUGCGUAGGCGGAUCGUUAAGUCAGUGGUCAAAUUGAGGGGCUCAACCCCUUCCCGCCAUUGAAACUGGCGAUCUUGAGUGGAAGAGAAGUAUGCGGAAUGCGUGGUGUAGCGGUGAAAUGCAUAGAUAUCACGCAGAACCCCGAUUGCGAAGGCAGCAUGCCGGCUUCCUACUGACGCUGAAGUACGAAAGCGUGGGGAUCGAACAGG